UCGCACCUACCGAUUGGAUGGUCCGGUGAAGGCUCGGGACUGCUAUUGUAAAUUUUAUUUGUAAUGGCAGGAACUUGUCUGAACCUUAUCAUCUAGAGGAAGGUG
RNAcentral lists this ribosomal RNA (105 nucleotides) under uncultured eukaryote. RNAcentral describes it as "partial small subunit ribosomal RNA". It matches the Rfam family "Eukaryotic small subunit ribosomal RNA", at positions 1676 to 1785 of the family's 1831-position model. The record is from RNAcentral.